UCCGCUGUAGCACACAGGCCAA
RNAcentral lists this non-coding RNA (22 nucleotides) under Arabidopsis thaliana (thale cress). Lineage: Eukaryota; Viridiplantae; Streptophyta; Magnoliopsida; Brassicales; Brassicaceae. The record is from RNAcentral.